Molecule: long non-coding RNA, 2609 nt
Filed under: Sus scrofa (pig)
Lineage: Eukaryota; Metazoa; Chordata; Mammalia; Artiodactyla; Suidae
Description: lncRNA (ENSSSCG00025054598.1)
Source: RNAcentral
CGGAAGUUCCUAGGCCAGGGAUCAAGCCUGCACCACAGCAGAAACCUGAGCUACUGUAGUGACAAUGACCAAUCUUUAACUCACUGCACCACAGCAGGAUCCCUAUUAGUAAGAAUUCUUAUCUUUUGAAAGCAAUACAAAUGAAUUGAAGGGUUUGUAGUAGGAGUGACAUGAUCAGAUUCUAUUUUUGUUGUUGUUGUUGUUGUUUUUGUUUUGUUUUUGUAUUUUAUGGCUGCACCUUCGACAUAUGAAGUUCCCAGGCUAGGGGUUGAAUCGAAGCUGCAGCUGCCAGCCUACAGCAUAGCCGCAGCAAUGUGGGAUCCAAGCUGUGUCUUCAACCUACGCCACAGCUUAUGGUAAUACCAGAUCCUUAACCCACUGUGUGAGGCCAGGGAUUGAUCCUGCAACCUCAUGGAUACUAGUCAGGUUUGUAACCCGCUGUGCCACAGCAGGAACUCCCCAGACUCUGUUUUUAAAGGCUCACUCUGACAUAAGUGUAAAGAAAUCAAUCUUUAGGAGUUCCCUGGUGGCUCAGCAGUUAAGGAUCUGGCACCAGGAUCCCCAGCCCAGGAACUUCUGUAUAACUCAGGUAAAUCCAAAAAAGAAAAAAGAACUCAUCUCAUUUUCUUUUCUUUCUUUCUUUCUUUUUUUUUUUUUUUUUUUUUGGCUUUUUGACUUUUCUAGGGCCGCUCCUGCAGCAUAUGGAGAUUCCCAGGCUAGGGGUCGAAUUGGAGCUGUAGCCACCUGCCUACACCAGAGCCACAGCAAUGCAGGAUCUGAGCCACGUCUGCAACCUACACCACAGCUCAUGGCAACACCGGAUCCUUAACCCACUGAGCAAGGCCAGGGAUAGAACCUGCAACCUCAUGGUUCCUAGUCAGAUUCGUUAACCACUGCACCACAAUGGGAACUCCAAAAGAAUUCAUUUUCUAAAUAAAUGAGGGGGUUUGGCCAUGCCCAUGGCAUGUGGAAGGUCCCAAGCCAGGGAUGGAACCUGAGCCGCAACAAUGACCCAAGCCAUAGCAGUGAUAAUGCUGGAUCCUUAACCCGCUGUGCCACAAGAGAACUCCCCUUUGAGAUCUUACAGACAAUAUACAAACAGUACAUAAGAUGGUGAGAAGUGCUAUUAUGCAUAUUGGAAAUCAGGUAAAAAUAAAAUGGUAGGGUGCUUCUGCUCAUUCAUUAGCUUGAACCAUGUGAAAUUACUGAUCUUUUAUAUAUAUUUUUAAAACCUCAGAAUGAUAUUAAGUUUAUGGUUUACAGCCUGGUAGGAUGACAUUAGAGUUACAUUAUUCAAUUUAAUACUUGGAAGAGUUAGAGAAAACCUCUGAUAAGGUGAUCCAAAGAAAGAGGCAAGCCAUGCAAAUUUGUGGUGGAAGGUGAAGAGAAUCCCAAGUGAAGAGAAAGCAGGUGCAAAAGUCCUAAAGCAAGAAUACUCGCUGCAUUUGAUGGCCUCAUUAGGAGGCCAGUAUGACUGAAAAGUAAUGGACGAGAGGGAAGGAUGGUUGUAGGGACCAGAGCAUGCUGGGUCUUGGAGACCAUGGUAAGAAAUUGGCUUUUCUUCUCUCUCUCUUAUGGAGGCUCCCAGGCUAGGGGUCAAAUCAGAGCUAUACCUGCCAGCCUAUGCCAAGGCAGGAUCUGAGCUGCAUCUAUGACCUACACCAUAGUUCAUGGCAAUGCCAGAACCUUAACCCACUGAGUGAGGCCAAGGAUUGAACCUGCAACCUCACAGUUACUAGUCAGAUUCAUUUCUGCUGAGCCACAACAGGAACUCCUGGCUUUUCUUCUUUGAAUGAGGCAAGGCAUUGAGGCAUUUUGAGCAGAGGAGCUAUAAGAUUUGUUAUCUUAGAAAUGGUAGAUUCUAGGUAGUGAGUAUACAGACGGAUCACUGUAAAAUCUUUCAAUUUUUCUAUAUGUUUUAGAUUUUUCCCAAUAAAAUGAGAAGACUGCUUCAGCUGCUGGUUUGUAAAUAGAUUUUAGGAGGUAGAAGAUAAGGAAGACCAGUAUUGUAAUAAUUUAGAUAGUAGUGGAGGUGGUAAGAAGUUGUUAAAUUCCAAAUAAAUUUUGAACAUAGAGCCAGUAAGAUUUUCUUACAGGUAUAAGAAAAGAGAUACUGCUUAAAGUUUUAGAUCUGAGCAACUGGAAGGAUGGGGUUGCCAUCUACUGAAAUGUGGAAGGCAGUGUCUACAAACAAGUUUGGAGCAGAAGGCUUUUUGGACAAGAUAAAUUUGUGAUGUCUUUUGAAUUUGAUAAAUGGAUAUAUCAAAUAGGCAAUUGACUAUUCAAGUCAGUAAUUCACAGGAAGCAUCCAUGUAGGAAAUACAAUUCUAGGAAUCCACUUAAAUACUACGAUACAGGAGUUCCUGUUGUGACUCAGUGGAAACGAAUCUGACUAGCAUCCAUGAGGAGGCAGGUUCAAUCCCUGGCCUUGCUCAGUGGGUUAAGUCUCCAGUGUUGCUGUGAUCUUUGGUAUUGGUUGCAGACUUGGCUUGGAUCUUGAGUUGUUGUGGCUGUGGCGAAGGCUGAAGGCUACAGCUCCAAUUAGACCCCUAGCCUGGGAACCACCAUAUGCCUCAGGUGCGGCCCUAAAAAGACCAAAAAAAAAAAAA